GGAAAAAUGGGUGAAAAAGUAGUUGUAAAUAAUUUCAAAAUUCUUGCAGGCAGGAACCAUCACGAUUUUCAUUUAAUAUAUCAAAACGUAACGUUUUCGACUAGAUGAAGAUUCGAACGCUCUUCUUCAUUAUUUUCAAUUCAUGACGAAGCAAGAUGGAGAAAAAGGUGGAAUAAAAUAUGAAAUCAAAACCUUAUAACCGAGCUUAUAAUCUGGAAAUCCAGGACCCUCUGGGCUCCCGGACCGUCAUCAUCCGCAGCUGGUUCUCUGGUGCUUCUGGUGCUCACGCAAAAAA
This is a long non-coding RNA of Armigeres subalbatus, 295 nucleotides long. RefSeq lists it as uncharacterized. NCBI's taxonomy places the organism in Eukaryota, Metazoa, Arthropoda, Insecta, Diptera, Culicidae. The transcript has 3 exons. The record is from RefSeq and is a predicted model, not a curated record.